This is a long non-coding RNA of Sinocyclocheilus rhinocerous, 106 nucleotides long. RefSeq lists it as uncharacterized. Lineage: Eukaryota; Metazoa; Chordata; Actinopteri; Cypriniformes; Cyprinidae. The transcript is spliced from 3 exons. The record is from RefSeq and is a predicted model, not a curated record.
AGAUACUGAUGCUUGCGGCUACUGGUAGCCAGUGUAACCUGAUGAGGAGAGGAGUAACGUGAGCUUUUUUUGGCUCAUUGAAGACCACUCUCGCUGCUGCAUUCUG